Molecule: ribosomal RNA, 891 nt
Filed under: uncultured bacterium
Lineage: Bacteria
Description: bacterial SSU rRNA
Rfam family: Bacterial small subunit ribosomal RNA
Source: RNAcentral
CCUGGCUCAGAAUGAACGCUGGCGGCGUGCUUAACACAUGCAAGUCGAACGAGAAAGUUUCCUUCGGGAAAUGAGUAGAGUGGCGCACGGGUGAGUAACACGUGGGUAAUCUACCCUUCAAUUUGGGAUAACAUCGCGAAAGUGAUGCUAAUACCGGAUGACAUCCAGAUGACUGCGGUUGUUUGGAUCAAAGAUGGCCUCUCCAUGGAAGCUAUUGUUGAGGGAUGAGCCUGCGUACCAUUAGCUAGUUGGUAGGGUAAAGGCCUACCAAGGCGACGAUGGUUAGCUGGUCUGAGAGGAUGAUCAGCCACACUGGAACUGACACACGGUCCAGACUCCUACGGGAGGCAGCAGUGAGGAAUUUUGCGCAAUGGGGGCAACCCUGACGCAGCAACGCCGCGUGAGUGAUGAAGGCCUUUGGGUCGUAAAACUCUGUCAGCAGGGAAGAAGUUAUGGGAUGUUAAUACCAUUUCAUAUUGACGGUACCUGCAAAGGAAGCACCGGCUAACUCCGUGCCAGCAGCCGCGGUAAUACGGGGGGUGCAAGCGUUAUUCGGAAUUAUUGGGCGUAAAGGGCGCGUAGGCGGCCUGCCAGGUCAGAUGUGAAAGCCCGGGGCUUAACUCCGGAAGUGCAUUUGAAACCGGUAGGCUUGAGUAUGGGAGAGGAAAGUGGAAUUCCUGGUGUAGAGGUGAAAUUCGUAGAUAUCAGGAGGAACACCAGUGGCGAAGGCGACUUUCUGGACCAAUACUGACGCUGAGGCGCGAAGGCGUGGGUAGCAAACAGGAUUAGAUACCCUGGUAGUCCACGCAGUAAACGUUGUUCACUAGGUGUAGCGGGUAUUGACCCCUGCUGUGCCGCAGCUAACGCAUUAAGUGAACCGCCUGGGAAGUA